CCUACGGGUGGCAGCAGUAGGGAAUAUUCCACAAUGGGCGAAAGCCUGAUGGAGCAAAGCCGCGUGGGUGAAGAAGGUCCUCGGAUCGUAAAACCCUGUUGUUAGAGAAGAAAGUGCGUGAGCGUGACUGUUCACGUUUCGACGGUAUCUAACCAGAACGCCAAGGCUAACUACGUGCCAGCAGCCGCGGUAAUACGUAGGUGGCAAGCGUUAUCCGGAUUUAUUGGGCGUAAAGGGAACGCGGGCGGGCUUUGAAGUCUGAUGUGAAAGCCUUCGGCUUAACCGUAGUAGUGCGUUGGAAACUGGGAGACGUGAGUGCAGAAGAGGAGAGUGGAACUCGAGGUGUAGCGGUGAAAUGCGUAGAUAUAAGGAAGAACACCAGUGGCGAAGGCGGCUCUCUGGUCUGUAACUGACGCUGAGGUUCGAAAGCGUGGGUAGCAAACAGGAUUAGAUACCCCGGUAGUC
This 465-nucleotide ribosomal RNA is filed under the name uncultured bacterium. Its description in RNAcentral is "partial 16S ribosomal RNA". It matches the Rfam family "Bacterial small subunit ribosomal RNA", at positions 338 to 795 of the family's 1533-position model. The record is from RNAcentral.